RNAcentral lists this ribosomal RNA (460 nucleotides) under uncultured bacterium. Its description in RNAcentral is "partial 16S ribosomal RNA". It matches the Rfam family "Bacterial small subunit ribosomal RNA", at positions 338 to 795 of the family's 1533-position model. The record is from RNAcentral.
CCUACGGGAGGCAGCAGUGAGGAAUAUUGGUCAAUGGACGAGAGUCUGAACCAGCCAAGUAGCGUGAAGGAUGACUGCCCUAUGGGUUGUAAACUUCUUUUAUAUGGGAAUAAAAUGUUCCACGUGUGGGAUUUUGUAUGUACCAUAUGAAUAAGGAUCGGCUAACUCCGUGCCAGCAGCCGCGGUAAUACGGAGGAUCCGAGCGUUAUUCGGAUUUAUUGGGUUUAAAGGGAGCGUAGGUGGAUUGUUAAGUCAGUUGUGAAAGUUUUCGGCUCAACCGUAAAAUUGCAGUUGAAACUGGCAGGCUUGAGUACAGUAGAGGUGGGCGGAAUUCGAGGUGUAGCGGUGAAAUGCUUAGAUAUCACGAAGAACUCCGAUUGCGAAGGCAGCUCACUGGACUGCAACUGACACUGAGGCGCGAAAGUGUGGGUAUCAAACAGGAUUAGAUACCCCAGUAGUC